This 309-nucleotide ribosomal RNA is filed under the name Sonorella macrophallus. Its description in RNAcentral is "partial 12S ribosomal RNA". Lineage: Eukaryota; Metazoa; Mollusca; Gastropoda; Stylommatophora; Helminthoglyptidae. The record is from RNAcentral.
AACAGAGCAUAUACCACUAGGUAAAAACUUAAAUAACAUGGCGGUAAUUAUAAACAUUAGGGGAACUUACCAUAUAAAUGAUACCCACCACGCAAACUAACUUUAAGUAAAAUUCUGUAUGCCGCCGUCGUCAGGUAAAAUUUAAAAUCUUUACCUUAAAAUAACAUAUAAAAAGACAGGUCAAGGUGCAAACUAUCUUAAAGAUAUGGCGAGUUACAUUAGCAAAUAGCUUCCAUUAUGUAUGAAAAACCUAUACUGGCCGGACUUAAAAGUAAGUUAUAAUAAACUUAUUUACUGAAUAAAUAUAUA